AUGGCUGAGGGCCACGGGUCAUGCCUGAGGGCUGUGGGUCGUGCCCGAGGGCCACGGGUCGUGCCUGAGGGCCGCAGGUCAUGGCUGAGGGUCACAGGUCCUGCCCGAGGGCCAUGGGUCCUGCCUGAGGACUGUGGGUCAUGCCUGAGAGCCACAGGUUGUGCCCGGGGCCUGCGGCCACUCUCCCCACCCAGGCUCUCUCUCAUGGCUGUCCUGCUGCCGGGCCAGGCUGGGCUCUGCAGAUGGGGCACAGGGCAGCAGAGGUGGGCACACCUGGAGUUCCCUGAGGGACCCUCUGGGCAACCACCUUUGCAAACACUCACAGUCAGACUCAGGUGUGAAGGCCUUUGGGUCAGAAAACAAAGACAUCUCAGGUGGACACAGUGCUUGGAGAAGAAAGAGGAAAGCACGCUGUGUUUUCACAGGGACAGCCACAGCCAGGCCCUGGCAGAGCUGCCAGGCUGCCAUCAGUCCUGGGGACAUUCAGCAGGGACAGAAAGCUUUGUCCCAUGGGUUCUCCCCUGUGGCAGGGGACACAGCUCCUUGAGCUGUGCCCAGGACCAGCUCCUGACACUGGAGCUGCCCCUCAGCCCCGGCAGGGCUGUGUGCAGCCAGGCCAGGCCGAGCAGCCACGCUGGGGCUAGCACCUGCCCGUGGCAGCCGGGCUGUGAGGCACAGCCCUGCCAUCAAAGUGUGCCUCUCAGCUGGGCUCAGAACAAGGCUUCUCCCUUAGGGGCCCCAGCAGCCUGUACCUGUGCCAGGCCUGGUGGCACAGCAGUCCAGGAACAGUUGUCCCUGGGCACAAAGGAGGGAGUUCCUGUCCACUGGGAUCCUUCUCACAGACAGGCCUAUGCCUGCAGCUCCCCCAGCCUCUCCUGCUGCCCAGGGCAGGUAUCCCAUGAGUGCUGUGGUUCAUGGCAGCCCCGUGGGCAUGUGUUCCCUGUGAGCCAUCCUCCAGCACCAGCUGAGCCCGUGGGCACAGAGAGCCCCACAGCAAAGUUCCUCCGUGGAACAGCAAUAAUUUUGUAUAGUCCGAUUCCUGCGUGUGCUGGGGUGUGGGAUUUUGUUACACAGGUAACAGGGUUUGUACCAGGUUUCUUUUCAGAAUAUAUUUAUACAAAAUGUUAUAAAAAUUAA
RNAcentral lists this long non-coding RNA (1137 nucleotides) under Lonchura striata (white-rumped munia). Its description in RNAcentral is "domestica (Bengalese finch) lncRNA (ENSLSDG00000000343.1)". Lineage: Eukaryota; Metazoa; Chordata; Aves; Passeriformes; Estrildidae. The record is from RNAcentral.